Molecule: long non-coding RNA, 102 nt
Organism: Vigna radiata var. radiata (mung bean)
Lineage: Eukaryota; Viridiplantae; Streptophyta; Magnoliopsida; Fabales; Fabaceae
Exons: 3
Source: RefSeq, a predicted model, not a curated record
AAGAAGAAUUUUAUGGACUAGGUAAUUUAUUGAGGGAUGUUCAAAUAACAAUAGAGGAAUUCUUUAAGGAUCUUCAAGAAGAAUUCAGGAACUGGGAAGCAA